UUCCGUAUUCGACUGUAUUAACCGUGUGCAAGUGAUUCUUUGUGCUAUCGUGCUAUCACCGAAGGCAUCACACGCCAAACUGAACAGCUACCCGACUGACCAAAAGACGGUGACACUGCUCAGACAUGGUAUUGGUGAAUAUCAGACUAGCAAUAGUGACAGGCGCCAACAAGGGUAUCGGGUACGCCAUCGUAAAGACUCUGUGUGAACGAUUCGACGGCAAUGUUUACCUUACAGCCCGCGACGUUGGCAGGGGCGAGGCCGCGGUCGGACGGCUGAAUGAGCUGGGUCUGAAGCCCAAGUUCCACCAGCUGGACGUGACCGACACAGGUAGCGUGGCCGCGUUCGCCAAGUUCGUGACCGACAGCUACGCGGGCAUUGACGUGCUGGUCAACAACGCCGCGAUCGCCUUCAAAGUGGCCGCCACCGAGCCGUUCGGCGAACAGGCCGAGGAAACGCUCCGGGUCAACUACUUUGCACUGCGAACUGUGUGCGAUGCACUGUUCCCAUUGCUAGUGUCCGGUGCUCGUGUGGUAAAUUUGUCCGGCUAUACCGGCCGCCUGUCACUGAUUCCGGGUGAAGAGCUUAGGCGAACGCUGUCCUCGCCUCUGUUGACCAUCGACCAGCUUGACGCUCUGAUGCGUCAGUUCGUGGAGAAAGCCAAGGGGGGCGAUCAUAAACAAUCCGGAUGGCCGUCGUCCGCGUACUGCGUGUCCAAAGUCGGAGUUAGUGCGCUGACAUUCAUACUACAGAGGCAAUUCGAUGAAGAUCCCAGGACAGACAUUGUGAUCAACAGUGUCCACCCUGGCUACGUGGCCACGGAUAUGGCCAGUCACAAUGGAACGUUAACUAUUGAACAGGGGGCCGAAGUUCCAGUUUAUCUGUCUCUGUUGCCUGCAGGUGAACAAAAUGUUAGAGGCCGUUUUGUCUGGAGCGACAAGACCAUUAGUAACUGGUUCGAAUGUUAAAUCAAGUAAGUUUAAGAGGAUAUCAGCGCACUAUUCGUUUUCUCGCUCUGACCCACGGGCAACAUAGACAAAACGCAUUUACGUAAAAUUAUUUUUUCUAUGCGUUUAAGUAAUCUUAGAGUAAAGUCACCUAUUAUAAAAAAGAUGGAGGAUAAUAUUUUUGAGGAGAUGACAUAUCGAUUUUAUAUUUUAUUAUUAUUUGACUUUGUAUUCCACUUUCAAAAUAAAUAAAAAAAUGUUAUAAAUUUAAAUGAUGUUUAGAUUGUUUUGAGACAAUAUUUAGACAAAUCGAUAUGUCUUUCCCUCAAAAGUAUUAUUCUCUAUCUUUUUUGUCAUGGGUUACUUUACCCUAUGAUUACUUAAACACAUAGAAAUAAUGAUUUUGCGUGAAUGCAUUUUAUCUAAGUUUCGUGUGAGCUAGAGAGAGAAAACAAAUAGUGCGCUGACAGCCUCUUAAAUGAAAUAAUAUAUGUUAUAUAUAGUGUAAGUCUUUAUACAUUAUAUAAGGGAACUAUUUUUUUAAAUAUAUUGAUUCCAACAAAAGUAUCGCAUUAGUUGUUGUUUCCGUUACACUUUGUAUAAUGUAUACAUAAAUGAAGAUAAGUGUAGAUAAAUAAAUGUAUAUAUUUUGUGACUCA
Molecule: RNA transcript, 1606 nt
Organism: Acyrthosiphon pisum (pea aphid)
Lineage: Eukaryota; Metazoa; Arthropoda; Insecta; Hemiptera; Aphididae
Gene name: carbonyl reductase [NADPH] 3 pseudogene
Exons: 1
Source: RefSeq, a predicted model, not a curated record